Molecule: ribosomal RNA, 490 nt
Filed under: uncultured bacterium
Lineage: Bacteria
Description: partial 16S ribosomal RNA
Rfam family: Bacterial small subunit ribosomal RNA
Source: RNAcentral
AGUGAACGCUGGCGGUAGGCCUAACACAUGCAAGUCGAACGGCAGCACAGUAAGAGCUUGCUCUUACGGGUGGCGAGUGGCGGACGGGUGAGGAAUACAUCGGAAUCUACUUUUUCGUGGGGGAUAACGUAGGGAAACUUACGCUAAUACCGCAUACGACCUACGGGUGAAAGCAGGGGAUCUUCGGACCUUGCGCGAUUGAAUGAGCCGAUGUCGGAUUAGCUAGUUGGCGGGGUAAAGGCCCACCAAGGCGACGAUCCGUAGCUGGUCUGAGAGGAUGAUCAGCCACACUGGAACUGAGACACGGUCCAGACUCCUACGAGAGGCAGCAGUGGGGAAUAUUGGACAAUGGGCGCAAGCCUGAUCCAGCCAUACCGCGUGGGUGAAGAAGGCCUUCGGGUUGUAAAGCCCUUUUGUUGGGAAAGAAAAGCAGCAGGUUAAUACCCCGCUGUUCUGACGGUACCCAAAGAAUAAGCACCGGCUAACUUCG